CAGGUUCAGCUGCAACAGUCUGACGCUGAGUUGGUGAAACCUGGAGCUUCAGUGAAGAUAUCCUGCAAGGUUUCUGGCUACACCUUCACUGACCAUACUAUUCACUGGAUGAAGCAGAGGCCUGAACAGGGCCUGGAAUGGAUUGGAUAUAUUUAUCCUAGAGAUGGUAGUACUAAGUACAAUGAGAAGUUCAAGGGCAAGGCCACAUUGACUGCAGACAAAUCCUCCAGCACAGCCUACAUGCAGCUCAACAGCCUGACAUCUGAGGACUCUGCAGUCUAUUUCUGUGCAAGA
Molecule: non-coding RNA, 294 nt
Organism: Mus musculus (house mouse)
Lineage: Eukaryota; Metazoa; Chordata; Mammalia; Rodentia; Muridae
Source: the annotation of a RefSeq genome assembly